This 794-nucleotide ribosomal RNA is filed under the name uncultured bacterium. RNAcentral describes it as "bacterial SSU rRNA". It matches the Rfam family "Bacterial small subunit ribosomal RNA", at positions 633 to 1427 of the family's 1533-position model. The record is from RNAcentral.
CUNUCUGACUUGAGUGCAGAAGGGGAGAGUGGAAUUCCAUGUGUAGCGGUGAAAUGCGUAGAUAUAUGGAGGAACACCAGUGGCGAAAGCGGCUCUCUGGUCUGUCACUGACGCUGAGGCUCGAAAGCGUGGGUAGCGAACAGGAUUAGAUACCCUGGUAGUNCACGCCGUAAACGAUGAGUGCUAGGUGUUAGGCCCUUUCCGGGGCUUAGUGCCGGAGCUAACGCAAUAAGCACUCCGCCUGGGGAGUACGACCGCAAGGUUGAAACUCAAAGGAAUUGACGGGGGCCCGCACAAGCGGUGGAGCAUGUGGUUUAAUUCGAAGCAACGCGAAGAACCUUACCAGGUCUUGACAUCCCGAUGCUAUUCUUAGAGAUAGGAAGUUACUUCGGUACAUCGGAGACAGGUGGUGCAUGGUUGUCGUCAGCUCGUGUCGUGAGAUGUUGGGUUAAGUCCCGCAACGAGCGCAACCCUUAUUGUUAGUUGCCAUCAUUAAGUUGGGCACUCUAGCNNNNNNGCCGGUAAUAAACCGGAGGAAGGUGGGGAUGACGUCAAAUCAUCAUGCCCCUUAUGACCUGGGCUACACACGUGCUACAAUGGUCGGUACAACGAGUUGCGAGCCGGUGACGGCAAGCUAAUCUCUGAAAGCCGAUCUCAGUUCGGAUUGGAGGCUGCAACUCGCCUCCAUGAAGUCGGAAUCGCUAGUAAUCGCGGAUCAGCACGCCGCGGUGAAUACGUUCCCGGGCCUUGUACACACCGCCCGUCACACCACGAGAGUUUGUAACACCCGAAGU